AUAAUAAGGUAUACCGUGCUUCACAACAAAGCAGUAUCCCUUGCCAAUGUACACGGUCUCUUAGCCGUAAUUGGAGAAUAAAAAGCACACUCAAUCAAAUUUACACUUUGUUUCCCAAUUUCUUUGGACAUCUGAUUUUUAGACUAGUAUGGGAAAAAUUACCGUUAUUACAAAGAAAAAGUACAUUAAGCUAGCCUAAACCAAUUAAAUUGGCACUUCCAAAAUUCACAAAUUAAACAAAAUACCAGCACUAAUUCAAAGAGAGUAAUUGAAAGCUUACAAUCAGAUAGGUAUGAAUUGCUAAUACAAGAAUUCCUCAACUGAAGAGGCAUUGUCACUUGAAUUUAUAAUAUGGCCUGAUAUCAGAAUGAAAAACUAAUAUUCAGACGGCACAAACCAUAUUAGUAGCUUUAUACAUGCAACCCUAAGCUUGUUCCUUGAAUGUGGCAGCUACAAUAUAACACUACCAACGCCACUUUGCCCCAAGAGGCACAGAAUUAGAUCCUGAUAUAACACUACCAAGGCCUCUUUACACCAAGAGGCACAGUAUUAGAUCCUGAAAUUAAUGCACGAUUGCCAAAGCCUCCUCGUCCUCCUCUAGAACGGAAGUUACCCCCAGAACCUCCUAGAGCGCCACCUGACCGAGCCAAAGCAGACAAUGCUGGAGAGACAAUCUGCCUUGCUUCCUGUAAAAUCUUGAUAAGAUCCCGAGCAAACUUUGCAUUUGCAUGGGUGAAAAAGGUAAAUGCAGUUCCCCUAGCCCCUGCACGACCAGUUCGACCAAUCCUGUGGACAUAAUCCUCA
RNAcentral lists this unclassified non-coding RNA (804 nucleotides) under Hevea brasiliensis (rubber tree). Lineage: Eukaryota; Viridiplantae; Streptophyta; Magnoliopsida; Malpighiales; Euphorbiaceae. The record is from RNAcentral.